Molecule: ribosomal RNA, 308 nt
Filed under: uncultured eukaryote
Lineage: Eukaryota
Description: SSU rRNA
Rfam family: Eukaryotic small subunit ribosomal RNA
Source: RNAcentral
AAUUAUUUAUUUGAUGGUUUCUUACUACAUGGAUAACCGUAGUAAUUCUAGAGCUAAUACAUGCGUAAAGUCCCGACUCUCGCGGGGAGGGAUGUAUUUAUUAGAUUAAAAACCAAUGCGGCCUUUGGUCGGACUUGUGUUGAUUCAUAGUAACUUUUCGGAUCGCAGGGCUUCACGCCGGCGACAGUUCAUUCAAAUUUCUGCCCUAUCAGCUUUCGACGGUAGUGUAGUGGACUACCGUGGCAUUUACGGGUGACGGAGAAUUAGGGUUCGGUUCCGGAGAGGGAGCCUGAGAAACGGCUACCACA